GACGAACGCUGGCGGCGUGCUUAACACAUGCAAGUCGAACGGAAAGGCCCUGCUUUUGUGGGGUGCUCGAGUGGCGAACGGGUGAGUAACACGUGAGUAACCUGCCCUUGACUUUGGGAUAACUUCAGGAAACUGGGGCUAAUACCGGAUAGGAGCUCCUGCUGCAUGGUGGGGGUUGGAAAGUUUCGACGGUUGGGGAUGGACUCGCGGCUUAUCAGCUUGUUGGUGGGGUAGUGGCUUACCAAGGCUUUGACGGGUAGCCGGCCUGAGAGGGUGACCGGCCACAUUGGGACUGAGAUACGGCCCAGACUCCUACGGGAGGCAGCAGUGGGGAAUAUUCCACAAUGGGCGGAAGCCUGAUGCAGCAACGCCGCGUGCGGGAUGACGGCCUUCGGGUUGUAAACCGCUUUCGCCUGUGACGAAGCGUGAGUGACGGUAAUGGGUAAAGAAGCACCGGCUAACUACGUG
Molecule: ribosomal RNA, 468 nt
Filed under: uncultured bacterium
Lineage: Bacteria
Description: partial 16S ribosomal RNA
Rfam family: Bacterial small subunit ribosomal RNA
Source: RNAcentral